CUCCCUGAUGUUAGCGGCGGACGGGUGAGUAACACGUGGGUAACCUGCCUGUAAGACUGGGAUAACUCCGGGAAACCGGGGCUAAUACCGGAUGCUUGUUUGAACCGCAUGGUUCAAACAUAAAAGGUGGCUUCGGCUACCACUUACAGAUGGACCCGCGGCGCAUUAGCUAGUUGGUGAGGUAAUGGCUCACCAAGGCAACGAUGCGUAGCCGACCUGAGAGGGUGAUCGGCCACACUGGGACUGAGACACGGCCCAGACUCCUACGGGAGGCAGCAGUAGGGAAUCUUCCGCAAUGGACGAAAGUCUGACGGAGCAACGCCGCGUGAGUGAUGAAGGUUUUCGGAUCGUAAAGCUCUGUUGUUAGGGAAGAACAAGUACCGUUCGAAUAGGGCGGUACCUUGACGGUACCUAACCAGAAAGCCACGGCUAACUACGUGCCAGCAGCCGCGGUAAUACGUAGGUGGCAAGCGUUGUCCGGAAUUAUUGGGCGUAAAGGGCUCGCAGGCGGUUCCUUAAGUCUGAUGUGAAAGCCCCCGGCUCAACCGGGGAGGGUCAUUGGAAACUGGGGAACUUGAGUGCAGAAGAGGAGAGUGGAAUUCCACGUGUAGCGGUGAAAUGCGUAGAGAUGUGGAGGAACACCAGUGGCGAAGGCGACUCUCUGGUCUGUAACUGACGCUGAGGAGCGAAAGCGUGGGGAGCGAACAGGAUUAGAUACCCUGGUAGUCCACGCCGUAAACGAUGAGUGCUAAGUGUUAGGGGGUUUCCGCCCCUUAGUGCUGCA
RNAcentral lists this ribosomal RNA (784 nucleotides) under Bacillus sp. (in: firmicutes). Its description in RNAcentral is "bacterial SSU rRNA". It matches the Rfam family "Bacterial small subunit ribosomal RNA", at positions 82 to 850 of the family's 1533-position model. The record is from RNAcentral. Lineage: Bacteria; Bacillati; Bacillota; Bacilli; Caryophanales; Bacillaceae.